CCGUGGGAGCAUGGCGGGGGGCGCUAUCCCCUUUUGACUGAUAGAAAGCAUCUCUCUUUUGUCUCUCCUGACCGAACCCGCCAAAAAAAUCACAAUAGAAUAAGUUGUUCUUGCCGGGAGAGUAGCGUCUGAGACAUCUUUAUCUGAGGCGUUCCUCGGCGCGGAAGUUACCGUUUAUAGAAUGCAAGCAAGGUAGCUUGCCUGCCAAGCCGAUAGGCGAAAGGGCGAACUGAUCGACUUGCAUGUGUUAAGCAUAUAGCUAGCGUUCCUUAGUCUCAAUCACAGACCUUUUUUCCAUUUUAGGUGAACGAAGGUUACCGGCUCUACGACCUUGCAAGGCACUACAGUAGAGCUCGAGGAACGCCUGCCACUUUCUCAAUCGAAAAUGUCAACUGUGAAGAUUCUCACGUUUCUUUAUGUAAGUUCAGGAUUUCUUUUCGUUGAUCGGAUCGAGCACAUAGUAAGAAACCCUAAGUCAAUUCAUUCUCUUUGGCUGAUGUCAAUCUUCAUCAAGACAGCUGACCGAGUCGAAACCUACUGCUCAAGUCUGAUGAAUGCCCCGUUCAUGAGCUGGUAAAGUCGAGAUCAAUCAAGGGGAUCGGAGACUGGACGUCUAUUUCACUAUCCCGCUUUUGUCUAAGAAAGUCAGAUGCCUAUGCGGGAUCAUUAUGAACAGGUUACAAGGCGUUCCUCGUAGCUAUCAGAGGCAAAGGUGGUGACCCACCAUAUUUUUGACAGCUGUCUCGGUUGUUUGAGUUUUUAGAUUGUGGAACAGGGCCCACAUUUACAUAUUUUAGGUGACCUAGCCCUACAGUUGGCACUACGAAGUCGAGAGCUGCAGAUCGACCUCUGCCCGCUGCCCUUACCUACUCAAAUCCCAAAACGAAAAGAAUAGGCUUAAGCAUCUGGCUUACCGGUAAUCUCCCAUUCCCAACAUCGAGAGACUUUAAUAACUAUAGCAUGCUAGAAAAGGGGAGUUUAGGUGCUUAGACCUAUAGCCCGAAAUCUUCAACUUCUUAUAAGCCGACAUAACAUAUUCAACCACGGAUUAAGUCGACAUAACAUCUUCACGUUCAGUCAGGGUUUUCCAAUUGGAUUACCUUGCCGGAAUUGGAUAGAAAUAGGGCUAGACGCGCCGGAGGAACCCCUUCUGCUCGAGCUCGCCGUAGGAAACUUUCCCCAAGGUUUCAAGAUCCAUCUUUCAGGUUCCUUUCAAGCUGUAAGGCUCGCUCUGUUCUCAAGGCUUGGUAGCUCUUCACAAAGUCCUCCUUUUUCCACGAGUUGGAACCGUGCCGACACAUUUUCAUAUCGUCCCCCAGUAAUAGAGUGGUAGGUUUCUUCCCUUUCUAUUCUGUAUGACGCCUGAAUCCUUCAGCUACAUCUAAAGAAUCCCAACCAUUACACUAGAAGAAGAUAGGCAACUACCUUGACCAACCAAAACAAAUGAAGAAAGGAAGGGACGAAAGUGACUCGAGCAAAGCGAGAGGGAUGAAAUGAAUAAAGGGUUAUCUUGGAUUCCGACUUGGAAGCUUGAAUAGUGAUAGAUAAGACAACGCAACUAGAUUUCACGUCUUUUCUUGAGAGUGCCUUUCCAUCGCAAGUAACUGAGCUAUCUAGGGUUCAAAACCUGGGGAAGUCACUUCAACAGAAGCCUUACCAAAGUCAAGAGAUUGGGCUCUUAUAGCUAUAGUUGGAGCUUUUACAAACAGGUUUAGAGUAGGCAAUUCCUAGUUCAAGUUUCAGCUUCAUAGCUAUAUAUUUCCUUUCUUAACUGGGUUUUUGAACUUCACAUAUAGCCCAUCAGCUUGUGACUUCGCACUCUCAGUUUUGAGAUUGGGAAUCAACAGAACUGCCCUUUCUUAACUUAAUUAUAAAGGGUAGCUUAGCUGGUUAGAUUUACUGAAGGUAAUUCAAUCGCUGAACGUUGAUAAUAGCUUUCGAGAAGAGAUCCUGACUCUCCAGCUAGUUCAAACUUCCCCGAUUAGUAAUGCUCUCACCCUGGGGACAUAUCUCACCUUUGUCAGCAAAACAGUAGAACCAUCUUCAUUUCUCAGUCUCACACUUCCUAUUCCCUUCACUGUUGACAUGGUGUCAUUUGCCAUCUUUACUUUUCCACUACCAGCAUCUGAUAAACUCACAAACCAUUCUCUUCUUCCGAAAGAACAACCUGUGUCAAGUAUCCAGACUUCCCUUUGUUAGGAAUCCCUAAUUGAAAGUGAGAAGGGACCUACACUAGUAUAUAAAGCUUUCACCCUCUCCACUCAUUGCCAAUUGGUUUUGAGUUGGAAGCCCAUGAACACUCGCAUGGUAUCAAGAGCCAUGGAGGGUUCUCUUGAGUCUUAUCCUUUUCCUUCCAAUAUCAAUAUUACUAGUUGAGUCUCCAUUAAACUCAACGAUCGGAACUAUCUUCUAUACGACGAAGGAAGGGUGCGAUUGAGUCCGCUGAACUUGGGCGAGAGAUGUGACUUUGAGGAACGCCAAAGCUCUGGUGUCUACGAGAAGCUUCAUGAGUCAAACAAUUGAGGAAGCCGAUGCUUAUACUUGGGUAGAGAAUCUCGCACAAAGCAAUGGGAGUCAUGGCUCGGAUUAUGAUCGGACUACAAGGAAAAAUAAUGAUGAAUCUCAUCAUGCCAUCCAAGAGCUGAAUGCAAAAAUGGAUAAGAUAUUGAAGCGUGACCAAAAUAAAAGAUGACGGUAAACUCUUGUGAAGAGUAUGGUGGAUAUCAAGGGUACCAAGACUUUUGUGUUGAAGGGUAUGAGGAGCCACAAGAAGAGUAGACGUGGCAGGCAUUGAUCGGUUCAUUGGGACCGGGCUAGCAAAGGUGCGAAUCCUUUUACGCCACACCAUGUCACAUCUGCCUUCAUAGCUCAACGGAUAGAGCGCUCACCCGCUAAGUUAGGGGUUCUUGGGAAUAAGUCUGCCUUUGUUUUUUACACGUCAACAUCCCCUGAUUGAUAAAGGGAGUGAGCACUUCACUGAAGUAUGUGGAAGUGGUGGGAUAUCGCGAAUCGAGAUGUAGAUGAAGUCGUCUUUGAGUCAUGUAGAAUGCGAUACUUUAACGACACGAGACCCUGAAAAGGGAUUCAGUAGGCGUGGAGUUCGAGAUUGCCAUAAUGGAUGAGCUUUUUGGCUCAUUGUGCUUGCGAGACGAUCCUCGGAUUGGUUCUUUUCAAAGUCUGUUGGGAAGACGUAAACGCCAAUCUUCCCUGCCCGAUCAAUCUCAACACUGUUUUGGCCCCCCCUAAUACCUAAUACAAAGUCAGAGAUGGGGAAUCCUUUAGUUUAGAGACAAGUCUCAAAAUCGACUUGCAGGAAGGAUAGCCUACACCCUCUUUUCUGGACCUUCUUGUGAAAGUUUUCGGUAAGCUUUCACAGAGCAGAUGUUGUUCUCGACUGAAUCAACAAUGUUUUCCUUUUCCGCUAUAAUUCAAAGGCGUUCAUCUCCUUUUAGUCGACUAACUGGCGUUCCUCAAUUCAGAGACUGAGCCGGCUACCGUACUUCAUGCUUGCAGGAACAGCAGCACUACUAGGCAAUUAAUUAGCUGCCCCAUUCAUGCGCCCUCUAAACAACGAAAGCUACAACAUCAACGAAGGGAAUAGGCUUGCUUCUUCCUAGCGAUCGGGCGUUCCUCCCUCUUCCUGUUCACCGCCGGUUCGCCCACUGCUGCUUUCAUAGAUGUCGUGCGACGGGGUUCCUCCGCUAAUGGAUGCCUAUUCCGUUCUCCUGCUCCUGCUCCAGCUCAAGAGUUCAAACGGACAGAAGAGAGUCCUGCUACCGAAAAAAAAAGUGCAUAAUAUUGGAUUCAAACAAAGGGGAUUUAUUCACGAAUACGAUUUCUAUUGAUUGAAAGCUUUCCUAUUACUGAUGGCAGGCGGGCGAGACGGAGACCGCCGAAGAAGUGCCUUGACGCGCCGCAGCCACUACUUUGACUCCUUUUAUGCAAUUAUGUUAUGAACUCCACGGAACUUUCUCGAUUCCAACGCAACUUAUCCUUUUGGAGCUGACGUAAUAAACUAGGCGAGCCUCCCAACGAAGCCAACAUAAAUCCUAUCCGAAUAAAAAAAAUAAAAGGCAGUUUCAUUAUGGUGGUAUACCAACCUCCUGUUCUGGAACUUCCAGUUCCAAUCGAAGCAUAUAGAUCCGUAAAUAGAUUUGUAUGUAUAGCCACUUCAGCCGUGCUCGUCUUUUCUCGAAAGUAUUUUUUUCUGGGAACAUGGUUAACCAAAAAUGAUUAUGUUUGCGAUUCUUCAUCCACCAAUGCAUAAAAUGCUCAAGUUUUCCAUUCUUAUAUGAGGCCGGAAAGUUUAUUAGCAAGAGGUCGGCAUGAAGUGAUUCAUCAUGCUCAAACAUGAGCCGAUCGUUCGUUAGGGACGGUUUACAGAUCAUCAAAUUCCCACAAAUGGAAUGAGAAGUGGGUCCAUGUAAAUGAUCGAGACCUCGCAAACAACAACGCUCCUUCCCCAUAUGGAGUUCGGAACCCAAAGGCAAUUGUUGAGUGAACUGUAUCUUCUUUGUGUUAGUUGACCUCAGCCGCACCAUUACUGCUGGGGUGGGGCUCGGCCUCCAAACCGUACGUGGGACGAGUUUCUGCCUCAUACAGCUCGGGUCGAAGACCGGGGGAAGUUUAGGAGAGAUGAGGAGACCCAGCAGCUGCCGGUCGGGGCGGGGGUAAGCUUGUGAAGAAGCGAGCUUAUCCCCCCAAAAAAACCAAUCCUAUAGCGCUAGCGCUUCGCGUUCUUUCUAUUUUAUCUCAUUUCAUUCCGGGAUAGGCUAAUAAUACUAAUCUAAUAAGUGAAGUAGUCGUCGUCUGACCAAUUGACUCGGACACCAGACCGCUCGUGCCCGCCCAUUCUGUCUCGCCCUAAAUGGAAUGGCUUUCUUAGUUACGCUGCACCCCGCGACCCGAGUCCCCACGUCCGCUCUUCUCCGCCCGCAACCUAAAAAGUUGGCUUUGCCAACACAACAUUAGGGCUGUCCCCUUCAUUCUAUGCCGACCCCGGCCCGGAGCUGGCUUUUUGGGAAGCCCAUUCCCACCGCGCUCAUGGCCCGGCUGGCCUGCCAGAGGUAGUGGGAAUUAUCCCGUUCCCUGGUCAAAGACUUGGUUGGAUGCGGGAUCUACUCCACGAGGAGCGGUACGGACGUAGAUGAUAUCAUCACGACCUCUCUUUUCGUACCGCUAGGGAUGCUUAACGCCACUUCGCCAACUAGCGUUACCCGCGCUUUCGUAUCUCUCAGUGUGGUCAGCACUGGGUGUUUCCGAGCAGCGAAGCUUACACUCAUUCGCAUUAGUUCAUCCAAAGUUCCUUACCCUUAUGCACGAAUUUUUGAAUAAGCCAUCUUCCUAUCAAGGUUAAGGAGUCAACUGAGCAUCUCAGCGGCGGGAUUGAAUACCCGGAUCGAAUCAGAGUUCACGCCGCCCGCCCUGAACAAAUAGGAGGCGUGGGCCACAGGUCGCACAUAAGCUGCCGGGUCGCACGACAGAAGAACACCCAACAUACAGAUGCACACUCCUUCAUGUGAAAUAUUCAUCUUCAUUGGAACCUUUUGGUAGUAGUCGUGACCAACAGCCAUAGCCAUCAGCUGUCGGCUCCUUGGUAAGGCGAGAGCUUCAAGCCCGAUUUCUGGUGGCACGCCCCCCACACAAGCACCACCCAACUCAGGCGGGACGGGGAAAGCUAUAGGCCCAAAACCUUCGACCCUUCUUUCUAAAUCUAAAUGGGGGUGCCCGGAGCACCUCAUCUUGUCAUUUCAUCGUUGCUCAUUCCCGUUCGGCCGAAGUGUUUGGCCUUUCCUUCUCCGCGCCCGCUCACGCUUCGCUGACCUAUCGCGUGCUAAAAAGAGGAAAGUACGAAAGAAUAGUAAACAGAGCACACCGCAGAAAGAUUCUAAAUAUGAGAAGUCCCCCUUGGAUUCGAGAAGACGGAAAUGAAGAACGGGAAUGAAAAAAAAAUAAGGCCUUUCUAGCUCUAGUUUCGGAUGAGCUUCUCCCAAUUAUCUCUGGUAAUAGAAUAGGGCGACUUGCUCUGACCAAGACUCCACUUUUUGCUCCGUCCAUAGAGCGUAUGAUUUUCCUGGAAUGUAGAUAGACCAAAAGAGGGAAUGAAGAGAUAGGAAUAGGAAUUAUAGUACCAUUGGAAAAAGGGGCACCCGUGGGAACAUCUCUACUGACGAACCAUUUCAAUAGUACGGGUGCUGCCGUGACACAAGGCACGACCAUAAAAAGAAUCAAAAAGAAAAAGUUAUGUAGUUGGACCAUCUGCUCUAUCCGUUCGAGUUUGGCUUCUCUAAAGAAGAGAAGGCGCUAAAAAUGAAAAUGUUCGCAAGGCAUACCGAAAGGAUACCAAUGAAGCCAACCAUUAAUGACUAGUUCGAACACCAGGAGCGGAAGGAGGGACUUGAACCCUCAACCUUAGCCUUGGCAAGGCUAUGCUCUACCAUUAAGCUAUUUCCGCCAGCUAUGGUAGUGGCGACAGCACUACUGAGCAAUUCACGUAUUACUUGAUACGGACGACUUCCGUUUUUAUGCCGGACCACGCUCUUGACCUCCGAUCGAGCUACGAGCACGAGUAGGUAGGCGGCUAGGGGGGGGGGGCUGGGCUGGGAAGGAAGGUUUUUUUUCCCUCUUUUUGCUUCGCGCCAGAUGAGAUGAUGAUUAGUGGGUAAGGUCCAGUGUGUGCUCUUGAUCACAAUCACUAAAGAGGCGGGCUGGCUGGGCUGCCUUUUCAAUCAAUCUCCAGCCGCUCAGCGCCACUAUUGGAGUUGUAAGGAGUGAAGGUCUCGAGUCGAGCUGGGGCCUCAUUUAAUUCUCGUAACGUGCACCACAAGACCAGACAAGUGACUCCCUCGCCUCGCAGCUAGGCAUCUGUCUUUCUUUUUUUUAAGUUGAGUCAUUUCCUUUCCUAAGACGGCUCCUCUUAUUCUACGAUAAUCCAAGCAAAUGGGAUGAAAUGGUGACUAGGUGAGAAUCCGCGUUACACGCGGGUGUUAAUUUUGUACUUUUCUUUUUAAGUAUUUGGUGUAUAUACUUUUGGAGAUAUAUUUUUUGGGCAUUGAAAAAUAGUGAGUUAAACAUAUUAUACUUAAGAAAUUAUCAUGCCGAAUUUGAAUGACUUAUUCUAUGAUAUUCCAUAUAAUUGUUCUAUUUAAAUGAGAAUUCAAAGAAAUUUAUCCCACACAUUUGUAAGCAAUUUAUACCAGUUAUCCAAGACUCUCAUUCCUUGAUCAACUUCACGGAAAAUGUGGAUUUCCUAGGAGGAUGACUAUAACUUUCAAGAGUUUGCAUCUUGGACUUUCAACGUCUCAGUGAUUAUCAAAGCACCUGCAUUCCACUUGGGGUCAUUUAGAGACAUUAAUAUUUACUCAUUAAGUCUUUCAUCCACCUUCGCAAAUUUUUAGUCUCGACUCUUGGUAUUCUGAAAUCUGAUGAACAUUCUUACUUCUAUCUAUUCAGAAACUGAAUGUAGUAGUAGUACUAUAAGAGUUAGAUUGAAUAACGCUUACAAAUUUUAGGCAUGGUGUACGUAAGUAUGAAAAUCCUCCUUCAAUCUGCAUGAAUAGAGAGCAUUUCUCAGAUUUUGAGGUAGUUAAUUAAGACAUGUUUCCUAAUAAUAGAUCUCAAUGAGAAAGCUCAAUCAAUCACCUGCGCAUCAGUGUCUUUAGAAUUUUUUACUCUCUUAUUUCUUUCAUUGCUUAUCUUGAAUAAUGAUGAUAAAUCACGAUAUUUCAAUAGUCAAGUUUAAGCUAUAGCUUUUACCCAAAAAAAAGGUUAAACCCGAAGCCAUAAGAACAAACACAAGUCAUCAUAACACAAGUCCGGACAAGAGCAUUGGCGUAGUUUAGCUUUCUAGAAGUGCCUCUUUACAGCUACAAACAAUACGAAUGCUAACUCGAAAUGCUUUGCACAGAUAGUACAAUGGAUGAAGUAAUAGCAUUGUACAUUUGAAUCUUCAUACCUUUUCUUGAUUUCAUAUGUAAAUUCAUGUUCUUAUUGAUUUUCUAUAUGAAAUAAACCAAAAGCUAGCUAGCGGAGGAGUGGAAAAUUUUCAAUAACAAGGAAAAGGCAGAAGCGACUAACCUUGAGGGAUGAAGAACGAAUGAUGGUGCAGACUCUUACGUCGGAACCGAAUCAUAGGAAGAUUGGUGUUGUAUGCAGUCUCCAUAUAGGGGUCAAAUUAGCAUGGAAAACCAACACAUAACAUGGUUAAAAAAAGUGAAUUAAAAAGAGAAUCAAAUUGCAGGUUUGAGUUUGCACAUAUAUUGUAAUGAAAGAAUUCAGUUAGCAUAUCUACCUGUUUCGGUAUCUUAGAUUGAAUCAGCUCGGAAAUGAGGAGACAUCCACUUGGAUUUCACAAACUCUGCUCUCCUCCAUGGCGCCACAUGUAGGCUUUUAUUCUGGUAGUUCUUUGCUGCAGGCACAAUCUCUGAUUGUCAUCAUAAUUCAAUGUCUGUCAAUACUAUUUCACCUCUGAUUAUCACAUGUACAUACUAAUAUUCCCUGUUUCAUUUCAUAAAACAGGCACUAUAUUGUUAGGCUUCAUAGCAAUCUAUUCAAAGAGAUAUGGAAAGGACAAUGUGUGCAAACAACCCAUCACACUGUAAGACUCUCUGCCAGAAACGUAAAAGUGGAUUAUAUAAGUCUCUUCUCGUUCUCUCCUUUUGCAUCUCAUAACAUGCAACCAAAACAGAAGCAAGAUUUCGAGUUUAACUAUUAGAGAUUUAUAGUGUACCAGCUGGACAAGAAGUCGAUUUCCCCGAGACAGAUUUGCAUAGAGACACAUCAUAUCAUAUUCGCUAGAAUCCUUUAGAAUCGGCCACAUUAAUAAAGGAUGACUCGUCCUUAAGCUUUCAAGUUCUUAUUUGUUUCCACAAUCUUUGUCGCAACACUCCUACAACGGACCAAAUUCUACAAAUUCAAUUUUCUUAUAUAAGCUAAUCUGUUUUCCCUUGAUCCAACAAACGUAGAGUCAUGAAAAAUUGAUGAAUCAUACCUUUAGGAUUUAAAAAGCUUCGCCAUUGUCAUCGACGAUGAAAUGCAGAACCAUCUUCGCUGAAUUACUUCUUGAAAGUUUUGUAGAAGCUUUCUUACAGGAGAAUUAAAAAGGGAUGACAAAUUCAUCACCCAUAAUUAUUAAUCCAACAGAAGUUGUACAGGCAACAGAAAAACGAAGGUUUCAGAGAAAUUGGAAUUCCGUUUGGAAAUUGCAAAACGCUUAAGAAAUAAAAAAAAAAGGAAGCGCAAGAGUGGAAUUUGGGUGUACACGUGGCAGUCUUUCAUGUGCUGACGUGGCACAAAUCUGGAGAAAGUUACCCAAGUUUUAUAUUAUAGACUAGGAGAGAACCUGCGCGUAUACGCGGUUUUAUUUAAUUUAUAUUUUAAAUUAUACAUUUUAAAAACUUUUAUUAAAUUUUAUUUUUAUUAUAAAUAUUUUUGCCUUUAAAAUAUUUAUAUUUUCUUUGAUUUUUUAUAACAUAUUAUUUGUAAUUAUUAUACACCAGUUGUAAUAAAGAAUUAAAAACCUAAUAUUUAAUUUCUGUAUAAAAAUAUAAUAGUUCACAUAUUUUUAUAAGUUGAAUACUAGAGAGCAAUAUUUAUUUGUUCUUCCAUCUUCAUAUUUUUUUAUUGUUGUAAAUCCUACUAAUAUAAUAUUUGUCAACUUUCUCAAUAUACAAUUUUGAGUUUUUUUGUUAUAUAUAUUUUAUUGAUUCCUGGUUUUUUUGUACAAAAAAAACAAUUUAUGACAUUUUUAUAUAUCCAUUCUUCUUUUUACUAUUAUUUUUUAUAUUUUUUAUCUUUUUAAUCAUUUAUUAAUUUUUAUGUUUUAUAAAUUUAUUAGUUAGAGUUUUACAUAAUAUUAUUUGAAAUUUCUUAAUAUAUUCAGUUUUAUAAUUUUUUUCACUUGCAUUAAAAUUUAAUUAUUUUUUAGUUUAAAAAUGAAAUUUAAAUCAUUUAACAAAAGAAAAUAGAAUGGUGCAUUUAAAAAGUUUUGUAUUAUAUAAUAUUUAUAAGUUGUAUUAUAUUUAAAUUAAAUUUUAAUUAGUUUAUUAUAUAAAUUUAUUUAUAUACAUAUUAUUUAUUUAUAUUCUUUAAUGUGUUUCUUUAAAAUUCAUUAAUUAUUUUUUAAUUAAGAUUGUAAAUGGACAUGUGUCACUCUCUCCAAUGCUGAUGUGGCAUUCAGAUGGAGAAAGUUGAUUGUAUUAUAUAUACUAAGUGAAUAUCCGCACGUUACGUGUAGGUUUUUCUUUUCAAAAUUUUUAAACUUUUUUUUAUAUUUUUAUAAAAAUUAAUAUAAUCAUUACUUGUUACCUAUUACUUGUUAAUAUUUUAUUCUAAAAAAUUAUAAAAUAUUAAUACAUAUUGAAUAUUAUUUAAUAAUUUAAAGUUAUAUUAAGAUUAAAAAAUAUCAUUCAAAAACUUUUAAUUAGUUAUAACAUAAAUUUUUGUUUAACAUUUACAGAAAUAUUAAUUGAUAGUCAAUUAAUUUAAAAAAUAAAAUUUAUAUAAUCAUCAUUUCAUUUGUUACUUGUCAGUAUUUUAUUAUAAAUAAUUUUAAAAAAAUAAUUUAAAAUACAUCUUGAAUAUUAUUAAGUAAUCUAAAUAUUAUUAAGUAAUCUACAAUUAUAUAAAAAUUAAAUACAUAUCUAUCAAUAUUUUUAAUUAGUUAUAACAUAAAUUUUUGUUUAACAUUAAUAUAAAUUUUAAUUAAGAGUCAAUUAAUAAACCAAACUUUUCAUAUUCUUUAAAUGUUUUAAAAUUUAAUAUUAAAAUUUAUUAAUUAAAAUUUAAAGACAGAUGUCAAUCUAUCCUAUGCUGAUAUGUCAAUGAUAUGCUAAAAGUUGAGCAACUUUUUUAUAUAUAAGAUAUUAUGUUGUUUUAGUAUAAUAAAGGGCCAAAAAUAAAAAAUUUGUGUUUCCGGUUUAGCCUCUCUCAACAUGUUGAAUCCAUGAUGGACGGACACCUACCCAAAUCUUUUUACCACUGGCCCAACCCAACGUUGGUAAAUUAAAUAUGAAUGUUUAAUGUUUAAGAAACUUGCAGGCCUUUCAUCUCUUAUAAGUGGAGCAACACCAAUAGCAAUAUAUUUUGUGAAAUUUGUAAAGUGACCGAGUAUAUAAAAAUAUCGACUCCAGGGUGUCUAGUUAUAUUUCUUUUUAGAGAGUUUUUAUCCUCUCUCUCUCUUCUCUCAUCUCCAUCUUUGAGAAGAGAGAGAGUUUUUCUCUCUUUUUUUGAUGUAUAUACUUCCGAUUAAUAUCGGAUCUUCCUUCCGUGUAUAAUGGAUAAUAAUUUCGACUUGAUCGGAUUUGUUUUAUUCCGUUUAUCAGAGUUCUUUUUCUUCUAUGUUUGAUUCCUUCUUCUUAUGUAGUAAAAUCCAACACCAAUCCUUAGUGGAGUGAAGGAUUUUAUCAAAUUAGAGGAAUCUUUGAUCUUCUUGUGUUAAAGUUAAGGUUUUCUGAUUUAUCGGAUGUUUUAUGCCCAUUCUCCUCUACAAUUGGUUCCUCUUGUAUAUGAGGCGGUGGUGAUUGGAUCUGGAGGUAAGAGUUGGAAGUCUUCUUCUUCAAUUACUAGUAUCAUCUUUUCUGGGCUGGGAUUGGAAUCUCCCUAAGUCCCCUAUUUUAAAGCCUUCUUCAAGGUAUGGGUGACAUGUCCUGAGUAUAGAUGAUUGGCGAUGAUUCAAAUGAAGGAUUAGAGUUUCUGCUCAAUUACUCUCUGGAUCUUAUUGAGGAGGAAACAAUAGGUGAAGAAGCAGCAAUUUGAGGAGGAUGAUAGAUCUGAUUGGAGUUAACCUAUGGUUUUGAACUCUUCGGAUUAUCGAUUUUCCGGCGAAGCUCUGUAUCGUCGAUGAGAUCGGCGGCAUCUUCUAACCAUUAAUCGGCGUUCACCCCAAUUAUGCUGCGUGUGUAACACGUGUUCUUUAAUUAUCGAUCCUUAUCUUUUAUUGUGGGCUAUAUAUGGGUUGAUAUUUUGGGCUUUAAUGUGUAAGGAUUGGGGCCUCAAAUCUUGCUGUAAUUUGCUUAUUGUUGGGCUUUCUUUAAUAAAAGAUUGGACGACAAAAAAAAAAGUUAUAUUUCUUUUUUUUAUGGAAAAAUAAAACUACAGACGAUUUUAUUAUGAAAACAGCGAAGUUUACAAGUCAAACACAGAGACAAUAAAAUAUGAAACUUUAUUCCCAUUGUUUGGUCCUAAUAUAUCCUGCCCCUUUAGUAUAUUUAAGGCUCUUAUUUCAUUACAAAUGAUACAGAUGAGACUUCUUUUUCGUUAAGUGUGAGAAUCUCAAGCUGAAACUCAGACAAAACCUACAAAGUCAAUAAAAAUCCGGAGUUUUCUUACCACUACAUAUACGGAUAACCAUCAUAACUGAAAUCGCAGUAGACUCUCACUGGGGGAGCACUCGAAUUAUGACCUAGACCCACACAGCGAAUCCUAACAACCAUUGGAUCAAGAUAAGGUAGUUAUACGGAGAAGACCUACACCCUCCACCGUAUCCUCGGCCGUGUCCGCCGUCUCCUCCGUAGCUCUGUUGAUCAGGGUGCAGUGUCUCCUCACUCUCUGACUUCA
This 12555-nucleotide long non-coding RNA is filed under the name Eutrema salsugineum. Its description in RNAcentral is "long non-coding RNA (ESAL_LNC000709)". Lineage: Eukaryota; Viridiplantae; Streptophyta; Magnoliopsida; Brassicales; Brassicaceae. The record is from RNAcentral.